Molecule: long non-coding RNA, 899 nt
Filed under: Pan troglodytes (chimpanzee)
Lineage: Eukaryota; Metazoa; Chordata; Mammalia; Primates; Hominidae
Description: long non-coding RNA NONPTRT000044
Source: RNAcentral
CCAGCUCCUGGAGGGGCUCGUGGGUAGGUAUGGAGAGAGAUGAGCAAUGGUCUACACAGAUGACAGAACAUAUCCGCAUCCCUAAGGAAUUGGCUCAGGCAAUGGUGAAGAUUUGGCAAGUCCAAAAUCUGAUGGAGGAGUCUGGCGGGAUGGAGACUCUGAAAAUAGUUGCAGUUUGAGUCAAAAGGCAAGCUGUCCGUGAGCUAGGAAGAGCCGAUGUUGCAGUUCAAGUCCAAAGACCCUCUGCUGGCAAAGUUCCCUCCUGCUCGGAGGAGCUAAAUCUUUUGUUCUAUUUAAGCCUUCACCUAAUUGGAUAAGGCCCACCUGCAUUAUGGAGCUCAUCUGCUUUACUCAAAUCUACUAAUUUGAAUGCUAAUCUCAUCCAAAAACACUGUCACAGAUACAUUCAGAAUAAUAUUUGGUCAAUAUCUCGGCCCAAUCAAGCUGACACAUAAAGUUAACCUCCACAAGGGCUGCAUCUGAAAUCCUAGAUGGGAACACUUCGGAGAGGUACCAGCAGGUUCCUUGACUCACUCCUAGGGCCCCUUGUGCUAAGGUUUUUCUGUGGCUCUCAAGCCAUUUCCAGGAAUUGAAUAGAAACUCUCUCUCUCUCUCUCUCUCCCCACCCAAACAAUAUUCCCUGAAAGCUAUUAAUUCCUGCAAGCAGGAGCUCAACUCAAACAAAUGUUUCUAUAAAUGGCCAGUCAGCAAUGGGCGGCUUGGGAGAUGUGGCAUCUUGUCCCUGGGGACCUUCAGUAAGAGAAUGCAAACCAUCUGUUCCGUUGCGUCUAGCCAGGGCAGCCACUGGCUUGUGCAGGAGCCUGGGCCAGAUGUUUUCCUGAGGUCUCUUCUUGCUCAAGGAUCUGAUGACACCAACUCUUCAUUUCUUCUGAAUCAAC